Molecule: ribosomal RNA, 253 nt
Filed under: uncultured bacterium
Lineage: Bacteria
Description: partial 16S ribosomal RNA
Rfam family: Bacterial small subunit ribosomal RNA
Source: RNAcentral
UACGUAGGGGGCCAGCGUUGUCCGGAAUCAUUGGGCGUAAAGCGCGCGUAGGCGGCCAGAUAAGUCCGGUGUGAAAGUCAAAGGCUCAACCUUUGAAUGCCGCUGGAAACUGCCUGGCUUGAGUCCGGAAGGGGCGAGUGGAAUUCCUGGUGUAGCGGUGAAAUGCGCAGAUAUCAGGAGGAACACCAAUGGCGAAGGCAGCUCGCUGGGACGUUACUGACGCUGAGACGCGAAAGCGUGGGGAGCAAACAGG